Panicum virgatum (switchgrass) is the source of this 631-nucleotide long non-coding RNA. RefSeq lists it as uncharacterized. The record is from RefSeq and is a predicted model, not a curated record. The transcript is spliced from 2 exons. Lineage: Eukaryota; Viridiplantae; Streptophyta; Magnoliopsida; Poales; Poaceae.
UCCUGGUGAUUGCAGUGCACCGUGCUUCGAUCGGUUAACAGCAAGAAGACAAUUUAGCAGCAAGAUGAAGUUUAUUGGUUACCUUGGAGAAGAAAGGUGAGGCAGCAGAGCAGGGAGAGGAGAGGGACAAGUUCUCCCAUGGAGGAGAACCGAGGGGUGAAGCAGACAACGCAGAACUUUGGGUUGUUGAUGCAUGACGAGGUAGAGGAGCUGAUCUAGAAGGACAAACAAACAUGGCUAGUCUGGCUGGCCUCUGCGAAACUGGGGAGUUGCAAGUAGGUGGCCGAAUCAUCAGGCCUGUUCUUGUUGUUGUUGUUGUUUUUUAAAGCAUGGUGGAUCGAGGUGACAAAGCUAAUUUUAUUUCAAGUGAGGUCAGCUGCUUGCGGAGGACCGUUCAUCGGAUUCUCCUAGCUCGCUAGCUGGGUAAGCUUAUGGUUCAGACAUGCGGUGUGGUGCCAACUGCCAGGAACCAAAUUGUAAGGUCCCUGGCUGCAACGUGGGAACUCGGCGUUGUUAGAAUUUAAUAGGAUCACUAGCUCAAGAUGGAACCACAAAAUUAGAUGUAUAGUAGCACAUACCUUAAUUACUUGAGCUACGCAUUUUAUUAGAGCUUGUAAUCACGUCUAGGACU